This 465-nucleotide ribosomal RNA is filed under the name Vreelandella stevensii. RNAcentral's name for it is "partial 16S ribosomal RNA". It matches the Rfam family "Bacterial small subunit ribosomal RNA", at positions 338 to 795 of the family's 1533-position model. The record is from RNAcentral. Lineage: Bacteria; Pseudomonadati; Pseudomonadota; Gammaproteobacteria; Oceanospirillales; Halomonadaceae.
CCUACGGGGGGCAGCAGUGGGGAAUAUUGGACAAUGGGGGGAACCCUGAUCCAGCCAUGCCGCGUGUGUGAAGAAGGCCCUCGGGUUGUAAAGCACUUUCAGUGAGGAAGAACGCCUGGUGGUUAAUACCCAUCAGGAAAGACAUCACUCACAGAAGAAGCACCGGCUAACUCCGUGCCAGCAGCCGCGGUAAUACGGAGGGUGCGAGCGUUAAUCGGAAUUACUGGGCGUAAAGCGCGCGUAGGUGGCUUGAUAAGCCGGUUGUGAAAGCCCCGGGCUCAACCUGGGAACGGCAUCCGGAACUGUCAAGCUAGAGUGCAGGAGAGGAAGGUAGAAUUCCCGGUGUAGCGGUGAAAUGCGUAGAGAUCGGGAGGAAUACCAGUGGCGAAGGCGGCCUUCUGGACUGACACUGACACUGAGGUGCGAAAGCGUGGGUAGCAAACAGGAUUAGAUACCCUAGUAGCC